AGGGCCCCCCCCCGAGUGGGGCCCGCCGCCUUAUUUUACCCCCCCCCGGAAAACCUCCCCCGCCCCGACCCCGUAAGGAUUGACCGAUUGGGAGCCCCUCCUCGAUCCCGUGGGGGGGGGUGCCUGGGCCCUUCCUAGUUUGUGGAAGCGAUUUUCCGGUUUAUUCCCAUAACCAACCAGACCCUUGCCUGGCUAAAACCCAAUUAUUCGCCCACCCCCCGUUGGUUUUUUUUCCUUCAACAUAAAAAACACCCCCCCCCCCAAUUUUUCUUUCCCCCUUUUACCCGCCAGGGUCCCCAAACCCCAGGGCGGGAAAUUCCCGGUCCCCGGGGGGGUUUUUUUAAAUUUUUUGAAAGUGGAACACCCUCCCGAACCCGGGGGGGGCCAAACCCCUUUUCCCCGGGGGGGGAAAAAACCCCCAAAAAAAGGGGGGGGCCCUUUUUAGGGGGGUUUUUCCCCCCGGGGGGGGGGGGAAAAAAAAUUUUAGGGGGGGUUUUUCCCCAAAAAAGCCCUGGGAAA
This 519-nucleotide ribosomal RNA is filed under the name uncultured eukaryote. RNAcentral's name for it is "partial 18S ribosomal RNA". It matches the Rfam family "Eukaryotic small subunit ribosomal RNA", at positions 1172 to 1466 of the family's 1831-position model. The record is from RNAcentral.